This 71-nucleotide transfer RNA is filed under the name Candidatus Azambacteria bacterium. Its description in RNAcentral is "tRNA-Ala". It matches the Rfam family "tRNA". From Rfam's summary of the family: Transfer RNA (tRNA) molecules are approximately 80 nucleotides in length. Their secondary structure includes four short double-helical elements and three loops (D, anti-codon, and T loops). Further hydrogen bonds mediate the characteristic L-shaped molecular structure. tRNAs have two regions of fundamental functional importance: the anti-codon, which is responsible for specific mRNA codon recognition, and the 3' end, to which the tRNAs corresponding amino acid is attached (by aminoacyl-tRNA synthetases). tRNAs cope with the degeneracy of the genetic code in two manners: having more than one tRNA (with a specific anti-codon) for a particular amino acid; and 'wobble' base-pairing, i.e. permitting non-standard base-pairing at the 3rd anti-codon position. Lineage: Bacteria; Candidatus Azamiibacteriota. The record is from RNAcentral.
GGGCUCGUAGUAAAAUGGUAUUACGCAGCAUUCGCAUUGCUGAGUUCCGGGUUCGAUUCCCGGUGAGUCCA